UCUCGUAUGGUCUAGUGGUUCAAGGAUGUUACUCUUUCACAGUGAAUGCCCGGGUUCGAUUCCCGGUACGAGAA
Molecule: transfer RNA, 74 nt
Filed under: bacterium
Lineage: Bacteria
Description: tRNA-Glu
Rfam family: tRNA
About the family: Transfer RNA (tRNA) molecules are approximately 80 nucleotides in length. Their secondary structure includes four short double-helical elements and three loops (D, anti-codon, and T loops). Further hydrogen bonds mediate the characteristic L-shaped molecular structure. tRNAs have two regions of fundamental functional importance: the anti-codon, which is responsible for specific mRNA codon recognition, and the 3' end, to which the tRNAs corresponding amino acid is attached (by aminoacyl-tRNA synthetases). tRNAs cope with the degeneracy of the genetic code in two manners: having more than one tRNA (with a specific anti-codon) for a particular amino acid; and 'wobble' base-pairing, i.e. permitting non-standard base-pairing at the 3rd anti-codon position.
Source: RNAcentral